GCAGGCUGGGAGUUCUAUCGGCCCUCGGAACUGAGCUCUGUGACCCGUGGGGUAACCGUGGCAACAAGAAGCCAAGCCCAGAUGGAACCACUUUGGGCCGCUGUGAACUUAGAAGCCACAGUGGGAGCAGGGAAACCACGGGCGUGGAGACAUCAGUCCACCCAGGGCCCAGCAAACCGAGGAGGCGGCUACAUCUACACUUUGAUUAGACUUAAAAGUGCUGCUCCCUUCUAGAUCCUUCCCCACUACAGUCAUUUUGCCUGAUUUCCCAUCAUUAGAGUGAGGCUUCUAUCAUCCAUAGGCUCCCUGCUAAAAUGCUGGUCCACCCAGAAAGAUAAUGGCUGCCAUUUGCAAUGAGCUUCAGGACAUGAAUUAAUGUCUGCCAGGAGAUGUAGAGGGGUAGGGAGCAUCACAGGACAGGCAACUGUGCCAUCCCUAAGGUGAGCGUGGCGGAGAGAGAGAAGGUGCUGGAGCCGGAGAGACCCAGACUGGACCACUUUCUGCCUGUGUCGCCAUGAGGAAGCGACUUCUCUGACCCUGUCUGCUCAGUGGGGAGAUGGGGGCCAUUCCAUCCAUCUCUUGGGGUCGUGUUUAAUUUGCCUCCAUAAUAGUCCUGCCAAGGCACCCACAGAUUCUUUACAUGUCCUGCCUCAACACACCAGCCCCUUGAGUCCUGUGUAAUUAAUAGCCCCAUCCACGGGCAUCACAUGUCCGAGCCAUGUGGGGAUUAGCCAUGAAGCAGCCAAAAUGGUGCAUCUCGAGGAUCUGCCCACGAGACGAGCUCUGAAGGUUAGAGCCAUAAAUGGCACUUUCGAUGGGCCAAAUGGCACUUUCGACGGGCUGAAUGACACAGCAAUACACGUAACUGUAAACACACAAAAGCAAAGUGUCUUGCCUCUUCCUCAAGGAAAAAAACCCUCCCAAAUGUCCUAGUUUAAAUCUGGGAGAGAGGACAACUCAGCACACUUGCUUUGAAGAAAUGGCCUCAUUAAAGAAUUUCUU
This is a long non-coding RNA of Zalophus californianus (California sea lion), 1002 nucleotides long. RefSeq lists it as uncharacterized. The record is from RefSeq and is a predicted model, not a curated record. The transcript is spliced from 2 exons. Lineage: Eukaryota; Metazoa; Chordata; Mammalia; Carnivora; Otariidae.